Molecule: transfer RNA, 68 nt
Filed under: Marmota monax (woodchuck)
Lineage: Eukaryota; Metazoa; Chordata; Mammalia; Rodentia; Sciuridae
Description: tRNA.Ala
Source: RNAcentral
GUUGUGGCUCAGUGGUAGAGUACUUGCCUAGCAUGUGUGAGGUACUGGGUUCGAUCCUCAGUACUACA